CUUGCUUCUCUUGAGAGCGGCGGACGGGUGAGUAAUGCCUAGGAAUCUGCCUGGUAGUGGGGGAUAACGUCCGGAAACGGACGCUAAUACCGCAUACGUCCUACGGGAGAAAGCAGGGGACCUUCGGGCCUUGCGCUAUCAGAUGAGCCUAGGUCGGAUUAGCUAGUUGGUGGGGUAAUGGCUCACCAAGGCGACGAUCCGUAACUGGUCUGAGAGGAUGAUCAGUCACACUGGAACUGAGACACGGUCCAGACUCCUACGGGAGGCAGCAGUGGGGAAUAUUGGACAAUGGGCGAAAGCCUGAUCCAGCCAUGCCGCGUGUGUGAAGAAGGUCUUCGGAUUGUAAAGCACUUUAAGUUGGGAGGAAGGGCAGUAAAUUAAUACUUUGCUGUUUUGACGUUACCGACAGAAUAAGCACCGGCUAACUCUGUGCCAGCAGCCGCGGUAAUACAGAGGGUGCAAGCGUUAAUCGGAAUUACUGGGCGUAAAGCGCGCGUAGGUGGUUCGUUAAGUUGGAUGUGAAAUCCCCGGGCUCAACCUGGGAACUGCAUUCAAAACUGACGAGCUAGAGUAUGGUAGAGGGUGGUGGAAUUUCCUGUGUAGCGGUGAAAUGC
Molecule: ribosomal RNA, 614 nt
Filed under: uncultured bacterium
Lineage: Bacteria
Description: bacterial SSU rRNA
Rfam family: Bacterial small subunit ribosomal RNA
Source: RNAcentral